This 2826-nucleotide ribosomal RNA is filed under the name Triticum aestivum (bread wheat). RNAcentral's name for it is "partial small subunit ribosomal RNA". The record is from RNAcentral. Lineage: Eukaryota; Viridiplantae; Streptophyta; Magnoliopsida; Poales; Poaceae.
AUGCGGCCCUACAGGUUACCUCCUCUUCUGAAAACAGAGCUCGAGAAGCAAAUUAAGGAGAUGCUUGCUAGUGGUGUCAUCCGCCUGAGCAACGGCCCUUUUUCUUCAGCACUCCUUAUGGUCAAGAAGAAGGACGAAUCUUGGCGUCCUGUGAUUGAUUAUCACCACCUUAAUGCAAUGACGCAGAAGAGCAAGUUUCCAAUUCCUGUGAUUGACGAGCUUUUGGAUGAACUCGCACGUGCCAGUUGGUUUACUAAACUUGACUUGCGCUCUGGUUACCAUCAGAUCCGCUUAGCACCUGGGGAGGAAUACAAAACAACGUUUCAGAUGCAUUUGGGUCAUUAUGAGUUCACGGUUCUCUCAUAUGGAUUGAUGGGUGGACCAAACACCUUCCAAUUUGGCAUGAAUCAUACUCUGGAACCUGGCAAUCGCAAGUACGUGAUUGUUUUCUUUGAUGACAUACUUGUUUUCAGCUUCUCCUUCGAGGAUCACCUAAUCCAUCUGCGCCUGGUACUCAAGAUGUUGUCUGAACAUCAGUGGCGUGUUAAGCUGUCAAAAUGUGCAUUUGCACAACGUCAGGUUGGAUACUUGGGACACAUCAUUAGCGAGCAGGGGGUCUCCACCGACCCGGAUAAAAUUUCAGCUAUUCAAACUUGGCCUACUCCAACCAAUGUCAAGGAAGUCCGUGGAUUCCUAGGACUGGCAGGAUAUUACAGAAAAUUCAUCCGUCACUAUGGUAUCACUUGUCGUUCGCUGACAGUUGUGCUUAAAAAAGGGGUAAUCUUCCGCUGGACUGAGGUUGAGGAACAAGCCUUUCAGUAUCUGAAACAAGCCCUGAUGUCUGCCCCGGUCCUCGCACUGCCAAAUUUUAGUAAAACCUUUGUGAUUGCCAUUGACGCCUGUGAUGUGGGGAUAGGUGAUGUCCUCAUGCAGGAUGGUCAUCCAUUGGCCUAUGUUAUCAAGGCUCUGGGACCACGAAACCGAUCCCUCUCUAUGUAUGAAAAGGAAUUCUUACCGAUAUUGCUAGCCGUGGAGCAUUGGCGUCAGUACUUGCUGCUAAAUGAAUUCAUCAUACAGACUGACCAGCGCAGUUUAACCAGUUUGGCUGAUCAAUGUCUCAAUACUGAAUGGCAGCAAAAGGCUCUCACAAAACUAAUGGGGCUCCGUUAUCAAAUUCAGUAUAAGAAGGGCACUGAAAAUAAUGCAGCCGAUGCUUUGUCCCGUCGCCCCCAUGAUACAGUGGAACUGCAGGUCGUGACUGCAGUGCAACCAGCUUGGUUUUCUGACAUUGCUGCUAGCUAUCAAGUGGAUCAAUUCUCUCAACAACUUCUACAGAAACUAGCUGCCGCCCCUUCAUCCGACAGUAAAUUUUCUCUUAAAAAUGGGCUGAUUUGCACUAAGGGAUGUCUCUGGGUGGGUGCAGAUGCUGGUUUGCACUCUAAAAUCAUCCAAGCUUUUCAUGAUUCUCCAUUGGGUGGGCACUCAGGUUUCCCUGUCACAUAUCGACGUAUUCGUCAGCUCUUUCGUUGGUCUCAUAUGAAAUCCAUCGUCAAGCAGUAUCUGCAGCAUUGCACUGUUUGUCAGCAAGCUAAACCCAAGCGAGUUCCGUAUCCUGGCCUUUUGCAACCCUUACCAAUACCAAGUCUAUCAUGGGAAAUGGUCAUAAUGGAUUUUAUAGAAGGCUUGCCAUCUUCAGGGCGUUUCAAUUGCAUCCUAGUGGUCAUUGAUAAGCUAUCAAAAUAUGGUCACUUCAUACCCUUAGUGCAGGUCGUGGCAGAGGCUUUUCUGAAUUUUGUCUACAAGCUGCAUGGUAUACCCUUGUCCAUUGUCUCUGACCGUGACCGCAUUUUCACCAGUUUGUUUUGGAAAGAGCUGUUCCAACGAACACAAGGGACACAACUGCGAAUGAGCUCAGCCCGCCACCCACAAUCAGAUGGUCAAACCGAACGUGUAAAUCAGCAAGUGGAGUGCUACCUUAGGUGCUUUGUCAGUGCACAUCCCUCCAAAUGGGCAAAAUGGCUACCUUUGUGUGAAUACUGGUAUAAUACAAACUGGCAUUCAGCUACAUCGAAGACUCCGUUUGAGAUCAUCUACGGGCAUCUGCCUCGUCACUUUGGGAUAACCCCUGACUGCACAGUGGCUUCUCCUGAUUUAGCUCUUUGGCUUGACCAACAGCAAGUUAUUUUUGAAUCAGUGAAACAGCAAUUGCUUCGCACUCAACAACGCAUGAAGGCUCAAGCUGAUAAAAAUAGAACAGAGAGAACAUUUGAGGUGGGUGGCCAAGUUUUUCUCAAGCUUCAGCCAUAUCUUCAGUCUUCAGUCGUGCCUCGGGCCAAUCACAAACUGGCCUACAAAUUCUUUGGUCCGUUCUCCAUACUGGAGAAAGUGGGCGAGGUGGCGUAUAAAUUGGAUCUUCCUACUUCUAGCAAGGUACAACCUGUUUUCCAUGUUUCUCUGCUUCUCAAGGUUCUCAAAAAUGAUGAUCAAGUGUUGGCUCGGCUUCCCUCUACUGACGACAACUUGCGAGUACCUGAGAAAGUUCUCCAACAACGGGUGGUUCUUCGUGGAGGCAAGAAAAUUCUCCAAGUGUUAUUGCAGUGGUCUGGUGAUUCUGAAGAUCUUGCUGUUUGGGAAGACCUGGAUGAGCUCAAGCAGCGAUUCUCUCGCGCAUCGGCUUGGGGACAAGCCGAAUCUCCACAGGGGGGGAUUGUCAGCGACAGAGCACAGGAAGAGCAUCAAAGGCCCAGCCCAAGACCCAAACGCAAGCCUCUACUUCCGUCUCGGCUUGCAGGCCUAGGAUGGGCCCUUGGCCUUGUAACGAUAUAA